RNAcentral lists this small RNA (97 nucleotides) under Marmota monax (woodchuck). Lineage: Eukaryota; Metazoa; Chordata; Mammalia; Rodentia; Sciuridae. The record is from RNAcentral.
GCUGGGCAUAGUGGCAUAUGCCUGUAAUCCCAGUUACUCAGGAGGCUGAGGCAGGAGGAUUGCAAGUUUGAGGCCAGCAACUUAGACCCUGUCUCAA